GCCAAUGGUCAUCUAGGGACAAAGACUCUCAGCCUGAGAGUCUGUGAGAAUCUGAAUUCAACGAACAGCCACGAGUGAGCUGAGACCUAGACCCCCCUCCAGUUGAACCUUUGGAUGAAACCCAGAGCUUGACUCCACCCUCCGAGAAUACAAGGCAGAGGCGCUCAGCUGAGCUGUGUGCCGAUUUCCAGCCCACAGAAACUGUGAAUCAUAACUGUUUGCUGUUGGAAACCAUUAAGCUGUAGGGGUGGUUUGUUCUGCAUCAAUAGACGACCGUCCCUUGUUUCCCAUCCGCCGGCUGAGUGCAGCAUCCUCCACUGACCCAGGGGAGGGCAGAAGGGCAGAAGGAGGGCUUCCAUGACCAGAAGCACCUGCCGUGUGGGGCAGCCGGGAGGCAACAGUCGACUCUGUGGAGACUGAAAUGAGUGGUUGCUGUUGUCCCUACCCGUCGCUUCCCUGAGAUGGCUGUGUGCUCCGUCGCUUCCCUGAGAUGGCUGUGUGCUCCGUCGCUUCCCUGAGAUGGCUGUGUGCUCCGUCGCUUCCCUGAGAUGGCUGUGUGCUCCGUCGCUUCCCUGAGAUGGCUGUGUGCUCCCUCUAGGUGGAAAAGCUGCGUCGUGUACGAAUAAAUUAGGCUGCACGUGAUAAAAUCCCCGGAAAACACUGGCAUAAACCAGGGAUUCCAUUCCGAGGACUGGCUAGCUACAGAAUUUGGAAAUUUAAAGAUCUGUGGAUAAAAGGAGGCCUGGAAAGGAAGGGAAAAGCAGCGGAAUAGAAGAGAGAUGUUUAAAACCUGGAUUGUUUCUCAGAAAGGAGAGUUGAGUUUGAAUGCGAUCCAUCGAUUUUCCUCAAAGCUGCCCAUGAGGAAUGCCUAGUGGUGAUAUUGACAGUGCAGUCCCACUGAGGGGCUCCUGGAAAAAGGGGCUGUCGGGUGACAGAGGUGGAGAGACGGUGGUGCCACAGGAAGGACCGCAAGCAGGAUGAGAUGGGGCAGGCUCUGCAGGUUGUGCCCUUUAGAGCAACUGGAAUUUCUUUGGUCAAAAGAUGUGUUUGUAGUGAGGGAGAAUCUGGCCGAGGACACUUCUGCUUGUGUGCGUUUCUUUUAGGCUUAAGAUCAGCUCCCAGGGCACAGGCAGUGGGGAGCAGCUGGCCCUUCCUUGGAGGACGGCCUCAAGCACCAUCGGACCCAGCAGACAAUCACAGCCUCACGCCUCCAAGCACAGCCUCCCGCCACCUCCUGGAACCUGGAGUUUUUGUCUUACUUACACGUGAUACCAGCUUCCUGGGCAGCCCCGUCCUCCACAUUUUCUGGAUUUGUGUGGCACACUUUGCUUUCUACAGUGGUUUUGCACAUGGUGUCACUUGCCCUUCAUUGUAGCUCCUGUGAAGGGUGAAGGGUGAAGGGUGAAGGGUGACAGCUUCCUCUGGAGGCCCUCUGUGACUUGCCCAUCUGGGCCUGGUGAAGGAGCCCUGUGGAUCCCGGGCACAGAGGGCCUGUUGGUCCAGCUCACAAGUCAGGGGGCAAGAAAGGAACUCUGCACCUCUGUGACAUUCUUCCCGGGUCCCGGGCAAGGUCAUCCCAGGAGUGCUGAGGUCACAGCUCACAGAAGUGACCCCACAGGUAAAGUCGGCAGGCGUAGUCACCUACACUUUGUGACACCAGGGACCAUUGAUGGAGUCCAGUGGGGACCUCCUCAACCACACAUGUCCUGGAGGACGUGGGCGCCGCCUAUCCAGAGACAGCUACAGAACGGCCUUUACCAAUUAGCAUAUGAAGUAGAAAUGUUUCACUGACCACUCUUCCUCCCCACCGGCACUGCACUUCCUUCAAUGCUCCAAUUGCAGAAAAGGGUCCACUCUGUAGGGUUAGGGAGUGCCCAGAUGUGGAAACAAAGGACCCCUGCCCCUUUCCGCUGCUGCCUGGGGGCACGGCAGGCUCUGCCAGAAACUCAGCCUGCAGCUGCAGGUGCGCGGGAGGAGGUUUGACGUUCACCAGCCUUUCGAGGGUAGGUGGUAACCCACACAAUCUUGAGCUGUACAAAUGUGAGGGACAAAGCACGCAGCUGCAUGGAACCUAAGGUGAUCUCGCCAUCAGAAAAGGGGUCUCCGUGCCCUGCAGAGGGGCCCUAAGCAUCACACGCCACUCACCCAAGCUGGGAAGAAAGGGCAGCUAUUAACCCUUUUCUAGAUGAGGAAACUGAGGCUCAGGGAUGCGAAGUGGCUCAGAAGCAUUCAUCCAUGAGGUUCAGAGCCAGCAGCCUGGCCCAGGGCUUCCCAAUUUCAAGGGUAACCUCUUUGCAGGCUCCAGGCCUGCCAUCCUAAGUGGGGAGUGGGGACUGGGGACGGCAGCUCUUUCUGCCCUCUGGCCUGGUGCCACUUCCCUGGAACAGAUCUUUCUCCUGCUGGCAUCCUCUUGCCCACCCGCCUCACUUCCACAGGCUCCCCAAGGGUCACACAGGGCCACAGGCCCAUGGGACCUCACAGCAUGCCAGUCAACAUUCAGCCUUCAUUCUUGACUUGGCCAAAGGGAGGGAGACCCUAGAAAGGGUUCUUGUAAUGGGAAACAGAUGAGCAGACGCCCCUCCAUCACUGCUGUGAUGGGAGCACUGCCCAGGCGUGUCUUCCCAGAGCAACUUGGCCAAUGUCCCCCAACCCCAUCUCUCUGUCUCUCAGCCCCCUCACCCCAAAUUGCAGAUGUCUAGGCUGACUGACGGUUUAUUUCAACCGAGCUCAGGAGUCACGUGUUCCACAGCAGCAGAUGCUCAGCACCUUGUCAUCCCACACUGCAGAUUCAAGUUCCUCUCACACUUACUGAGCGCCUUCUGUAUGCUGGGUCAGCACCUUCACUCUUGCCCAGCACCCCAGGGCAGUCAGUCCCUUCCAGACACACAGUAUCCCUUCAUGGCAGGGUGCGUUCACUCUGCCUCUCUUCUCCCCGGAUGAGUUUUCAGGGUGUUUCCUUGCAGGCAUCCCCGUGGGAAGCAGGUUUGAAUGAGGGGUGCAGAGGACGGUGCAUGGGGGAGGCGUGUUGGAGCGUCCACUCCUAGGGAGCUUGGCUUUAUCCCCAGUUGUCUCUGGCUUGGGUAAAGGGACAGGGUUUCAAAGCAGCCUUUACCUCUGGCUGCUCCCUGCCUCUAGGAUGAAGAUGGUUUGCCAACCGCUGGCCUCUGCAGGUGACCCUCCCAGGUGUGGAGCAGAGAGGCUGGUGGCUGGCGGGCCUGUGACCACCAGGCCACCAAAAAGCAUUACUGGUGUCCAGAUGUCUUUCUCUUCACACAUCCUGGAGCUGUUUGAGGCCAGGGCUGUAUCAGAGUCACUUGGGCACACUCACACCCAGCGCAGUGCCCUGGGGACCUCGACAGCAUCCAGGACCUUUUGUCGGAGAAGCCGGCGGUCAUGGUCAUGGGCAGUGGAGAGUGUCGUCUGACUCUGGGCCGUGCUUGAAUUCUCUUGUCCGUUUGCGCUGUGACCAGCUUAGCACAGAAGCACAUGCUGUGAUUCUAAGAGGGAAAACGAGGGUGUUCUCAGUCACGCUGAGGGCUGCAGGGCUCAGGGGAGGAGGCUCCUUCCCACCGGGCAGCGGUUCCCUGCAGUGGCCGAUUCCUGACCUUCAGGUGGCCAGCUGCCCUGCCUCCCCCUCCUCCUGGCUUUCCAUCAGUUUCCCAUCUGCUCCCACAGACUCAUCUGCUGGGGACAGCCAGUUCAAUAGGAAGAAAAGAAAGGCAGAUGCUGUUGGUGACGCUUUUUUGGCAGUCUCCAGAGAAAACUGGAGUCUGGACUCAUGAGAAACACUGUGCACAAUGGAAGACGCAGGCGUCCACUCACCUGGGUCAGCACUCAGGGAAGCCUGGGCGCCUCCCACGAGAUGGCGUGCACUCAGGUGCAUGGUGGGUGGGGGCUGCGUUGGGCCCAGUCUUUCUCCAGGUGCUUGAGGAGGGUGCGUCCAUAUUUUCAUGUUGGUUUAACUUCGUGCUGCCUAUUGGCAAAGAUAAACCAAAGAAGACCAUGGAAAAUGUGGUCAGUGGGGAAGGAAGCUUUCCGUGGAAAAUGUGGUCAGUGGGGAAGGAAGCUUUCCGUGGAAAAUGUGGUCAGUGGGGAAGGAAGCUUUCCAGAUGAAUCAGAAUCCAUUCAUUUCACCCCCACACCUUUGGUCACUGAAUAUUCGUGAGAUACAGGUGUGGUAGUGGGGGUGAAAAUCUGUCCCCCCACACUCUUUUGCUGCAGUGAUGUGGCAGGUGUGGCAUCUUCAUAUCCCUCAGGAGCCCCCAGAGUGACUGCAGACCUAGCCUGAGGCACCAGUGCCAACCAGCCCGUGAGGGAGAAGCUCAUCCUCUUCAGCUUGACCUCCCUUCCUCUGCUCCUCCGUGCGAAGGUGCCCGUGCCUGCAGGGCUGAGGGAGGUUGGUUUCAGGACCCCACCUGUUCUGGAUGAAGCCUGAAGAUCCACAGGUCUCUGGGGAGGCCCUGGCUGGGCCCCAUGCCUGGCCGCUUUCCAGCAUCUCUGCAGGGAACUGAGGCAGGGAGGCCUGGGUUCCGCGUCUCCUGCCCACUGGCUGCUGUGUUCAGUUUCACAGGUUCACCCUCGGGCCUCUGUGUCUGCGAGGGAACUCGGUUAGCAGCUGUCCAGGCCUCGGGCUCCUGGCCUGCCUUGCUGCUCCCACCUCAGUGAGCGCUUGUUCUGAUGCUGGAACGGCAAGGCCUGCCUCAGAGCCAUGUUUCUUGAGGUUAUUUGAACACUGGGGUUUACUGUGAAAGACACACUCUGAAAACAGGCCUGGAAUAGGAUGGUAAGCUUCACACUGCUCCAGGACUGGCGGGCUAUGUGGUUGCACCAUGGCCACGAGCACAGCUUUUGGGUGCUGGAGAAGGUGCCACUGAGAGACAGAUGCAGUGCCUGGCAUAGGGCACCCUCAACCUGCUUCACCUGCAGCUCAGGAGGCAACGCGGCAGUUCCAGAACAAGCACAGGCAUGGUCCCUGCCUGGUGCUCCUCCCAGGGGCAGGAGACCCCUCUUCUGGGCCAACCUCAGGCACGACGUGGCCUUCACUGCUCCGAGAGUGACUGGCUAGAAGCAGCUUUGGAGCUAAAAAGACCCAGAAUUGCAGAGCACAAGGUUCUCCAGAAAUCCCUCUCCCCUGUCAUGGACUGGGAAACUGAGGCAGGGAAGCGGGAGCACAGAGGCAGAGUUCGUGACUGACCAUUUGCUCUGCAAAUUCUGAAUCCUCAGCAGUGUGAUUCUUAAAGCUUUAUUGAGGUAUAAUUUACAUGCCAUAAAAUUCACCCACCAUGAGCAAACAUACAAUUGCAUGUUUUUCGGUGAACUUACAGGUUUGUGAAGCCCUCACCACACUCCAGGUUUAGAACAUUUUCAUCGCCCCAAAGUCCUCUGGAGCCUGCUUGCUGUCAGCCCCAGUUCCACCCUCAGCCCCAGGCACUGCUGGCGUGUGCUCUCUCUCUCUCUCCUGGUGGCUCUUUUCAUGGGCAAGAGGUGAAUAUUCAAACCUAAGUGGGUUCCAGGCCAGCACUGUGGGCAUUUGACCUGUGAGCACUGGCACCCAUGCUCAGAAGGGCUCUGUGCUUGGGGUCCCCGCCCCUGCAGCCCCUGCUGGUCGCUUUUUCUUUAGUGUGUGUUUUGCAAGCACAAUCCGAUGAGGCCCAGCUGCAGGUUCCAGGCGGGGAGCCUGGGCUCACAGACGGUCCCACCUCCCGCCCCUUCCCACCGACGUCCUUGGUCCACACUCCAUCCCCCGCCCUCUCCUCCAGGGCCACUGCCCGCCUCCCAUGAAGCAGUGACUGGGUCUCUUUGGCCAGGGGCAGCCUGCCUUCCUGAGUCACUCUCCGUCCUGGUGGCAGCCUGGGCCCAGUGUGGUGAGGGUCACGGUCAGGUCUGGCGCAGCACAGUGUCUUGGGUGGAGCCAGGAGAUGGCUGUCUCCCAUCCUGGGCUGGACAGUGCCUCACACAUCCUCAAUCCAGGUACCAGAGCCCUGGCUCUGAGGUUCAGCCAUUUGGUAAUGUUGUGCCCCAGGUGCUAGGGAGAGAGGUGCAUGGGGCUGGUGCUGACUGCACACGUGCCAUGCUGUGGAGUGGGGCCCAGGGCGCCUGUGGGGUCUGUGCUCCCCAAGCGUCUCAUGCCACCAAGGGAGCGUGACCUUCAGCAUCAAAUAACCCUGUGGCUUCUGGCCGCAUCCACCUGCACCCUCCCUUUUUCCUGCACAUCUGAGGGCAGCUCACUGCACCCGAGCACUUUCGGGACCACGAGGCAGCUCCCGCCACCCUCCUCCCCUCGAGGCCUCUGUGAUGCCUCUUGACUCUCAGCUCCAUCCUCCCAGCCAAGCAUUGCUGUUGCUCAUCCCAAACACCAUUCAUUCAUGAGAAGAUCCAUCUGUGAGCGCUGGAAUCCUCACGUGUCCAGCGGGAGCAGAGAAGAGCAGGCACACGAGAGCCUCGUCUUUUCCUUGUCACAUCAGGAAAUCUCUGAAUUCAGAUUUCUAAUGUCAGACGACAGUGAAUCUGGGUUCAUGUCUAAUGCGAGUAGCUCUUACUAUGGGCUGUUUUCAUGAACCUGGGGUUUGGGAGGGUUGUGGCCACCGUCUCCAGGCAAAGACCAUGAGGAAGGUGAGUGGGUGAGGGCCAGGCUGCGGCUCCAACGCAGCCCAUGGGCAGGUGGAAGGCUCCAGUUUAUGUAGCAGGAAGUACAUGUCCUUCCCUCCGCCAACACAGUAGCUGACUUCCGUUUCCUAAGGGCUACAGGGUUCUGCCAAGCAGCAGAUAAAUCACCUGUAACACCAGCGAUGGAACGAGGAGGGAUGAGAAACCACAGGGGCAGCCAGCUUGGUGCCAGGAGACGCCGCCGCCUGCCACGGCCAGGGGACUCCGUACCACGCACACCCCUGCCAGCUGGGGCUGGGCUCUGCAGAGGUCUGGUCUGCAUGGGGGCCCUGGCAUGGCCCCUUGGAGUGAAGCAUAGAAGCAGAGGCAGAGUGCAGGGUCCCGGUUGACAGCUGUCACUAUCUGGAUUUGGACAGACGGCACGCCGGGUCACUGCCGGGGCCGUCAGGAGACGCAUUGGAUCACUGGUCACUGCAGCACUGUCCGCGUCAUUCCAAGAGACCCAGCCCACGGUGGAGGGUGAGCAUGGAAAUCAGCCUUUUGCAAUCACUUGGUCCGUCCGUCUCAGACACAAAACCCAGAGUGAGCAUCAUCCUCCCAUGACACCCUGGCCUGGCAUUCGCAGCGAGGCAGCAGACAUUAUAAUCCCGUUCGAGACGGCCUUAGCAGUCUCACUGAAUUCAGUUCCCACCCAAAGAUAGCCUGGAGCAGAACUGCCCCCUCCAGGAGGGGAGCUGGGCCACUGGCUUCUGAGAGACUAAGAGCAGGGCACCUGGGCUCCCUGCCACCUGGGCUUCCUCAGUCAUGUCACUUGGUUCCUCGGGGUCACAGCUGCAGAGGUAGGAGAUAGAACCCCAUCUGCAGCUGCCCUCGGAAAGCGGCCAGAGCUCAGCGCUCACCACCCUAACCCCCACCCCUGUCCAGGAGUCUCAGGUGGAAGUUGUUCUCUUUCACUUGACACGUGUUGGGAGACUCAGAUUCCCUCGCAGGUGGAAAAGUGCUUUCUCAACCUUCAGCCCCACCUGUGAGAGCUGACCUCAUCAGCAUUUCCUGGGCUAUAAAUAGACCUGAAACACAAUGAAGGGACCCAGUUUAGAGAAAACAGCCAUGGACCUUAUGUCACCUGAAAAAUGCUUUGGUAGGGCAAAUGCUGUUCUGAACUCUGUCCACCUUACAAGUGUGGACACCCCCAUGAUGCUCUCCUAGAGCGCACAUUUGAAGCGAGGGGUCAUCCCAUACUGUUUUCAUCAGUGUCCCCUGAGAAGCAGCAGUGAGCCUGCAGGACUUAGUCAACUGCAGGUGUGAAAUGGGACAUGAACUCCUGGAACUACCUUUUUCAUAAAAAUAUCUUCUUAAGGUAUAAGUUUUCUCAGUUUCUAAAAACAGCUGUCUUUUGCGGCUAUAAAGAAGGACCCACAUAGUUACAUGUGACUUUGUGUUAUUGAUUAAAUCUAUGACAGACUGAUCACAAACAUUCAACUGCAUUAAUCUAUGUCAGAAAUUUGAGAACCACCCCCUCCCCAGGCAGUUUUCAGAACCUGGUUCCCCCCACAGCAAAGGGCCAAUGGGGUCAGCCAAUUGGUGUCAACAACUGGAUGUGGCCCAGUCAGCAGGGCCCAGCCCCGCCCCCCAAAGAGCCAUGUGAACCCUGCUCAUGGUCCUGGGGAAUGUUGAACCCAAUGUGGCCAGAUAUUCUGGUUUAUCAAGAGAAACCAGGAUUUCCAGAUUAUUAAAUGUGUACAAUCCAUCUAAACUCUAAAAAAUAAUGCUCAGCCAGUCAAAAUGUCUCUAAAAUUUAGAUUCAGCAGGCAAUCUGCCUGUUUGUGACUCCUAGACAUUAUACAAGCAAGAUCCCUAGGCUUCCUGCUGCAUCCUGUACCCUGGUCACCUAGGGAACUUUCAUGCUGACUGUCCCCUCCUCUCUUACUCUGAAGCUUAUUCUCCUGUACACUUUCCAGAAUUCCAUGAACAUUCACAGACCAGACAAUCUCCAGAUUAUCUUCUCCAGAUGGCCAGGAGGGACAGAGGGAUCAAACCAUCCCUGACUGCUUGAGAUUCAUGGCUGCCUCCAGAAACAAGGAGAGACACCAUACAGCAGACACCUGGGGCUUCCAGAAGUAGUCAAGAGGAUGUCAUUUCACAGAGGCAGGGUAAACCAGAAAAUACUGCUUUGUUAGUGUAAUUGGUAGGAGUGAGACAGCAACAUUUUUCCUAUUGAAAAAUGUCAUCUGCAGGGGCUCAAGGAAAUCACAGUCAGAGUGUGGGGCCUGCGGUCAAACCACCUGAGUUUAAAGCUCCCCCAUGAAGCUUACUAGCUAUAUAAACAAAUCUACCUUCAUUUAUUUGACAAUAUUAAUAUUUAUGAUAUUAUUGUUAGGAUAAAUCGGCGUGUCAGGUUUUCAGAACACUGUCUGGCAAUGAAACCCUCAAUCAAG
Molecule: non-coding RNA, 9041 nt
Organism: Callithrix jacchus (white-tufted-ear marmoset)
Lineage: Eukaryota; Metazoa; Chordata; Mammalia; Primates; Cebidae
Source: RefSeq, a predicted model, not a curated record